UUCGUUUAUGGGUUUCCUAAUAUGUUAGCUUUUCUUUAAAAUAGAGCACAAAUAUGAUGAAAUUGAGAGGUGACUACAAAAGAAGAACCGGGUAUGUGGUGUUACUGGUCAAUGACAUCCAAGGUCUUAAAGAAAGCUGAUACUGGAAUUGCAGUUGUUGAUGCUAAAGAUGUCUCUGUGAGUGCUUGUGAUAUUUGUUCUCACCGGUCCUGGGCUGAGUGUCAUCAUUGCUGCGGUCCUUACCAGCCGAGCUCAUUUCCCAGACGACGAAGAAUUACGCGGUAGGCACCUAGGUAUUUUCUUGCGACGGUCAUCUACUUCUUUCAUGCGCAUUGAUUUCUUUCACUGGUCCUUGCUGAUUCCUGUCCCUUCACGGGUCUAUGCUGUUUCUAAUACAGUUUGUACUGUUGAAAGUACUGCUUCUGUGACCGAAUCAUCGGUUUACUACUUACGUUUAGGCAAAACAUUGUUCUCGUGUCAGUGCUAAAUGCUUCUUCUCAUCUUUGUAGCUCGCCUUUAAGCUUAUUGCGCUGACAUGAAAAUUCGAUUUCUCACCCUUCAUGGUUCUGAUUAUUACCAUCCUCAGUGUUGGUGAGUUUUGCAUUAAGAGGAAAGAGCAUUCUUGCUUACUUUGAGACCUGUCCAUAUUGGGUACAGUUAUGACAAUAUCAAAGGACCGAGCGAAGCCAUCCCCAAUAUCUGACAGUUGGAAAUUGAAGGAGAUUUGCGCUAAUGGCUUCAUGUAUGGCAGUUACUUGGCAUUGAUGAGCAUCUUCUUUUUCUGGAAAACGAAAGAUGCUGAUUUCUUCUCUGUUCAAUUCCCAUGCCGACGCAGGACAAAUUUGGUGUGCAGCCAAUUAGGCACAGUGACGGUGAAGUGAUGGCUGCUCUGUACCUGAAAGUCAGUAUUAUGAGCCAGGCCCUCAUCUUUGUCACUCGAUCUCGUGGCUGGUUCUUUGUCGAGCGACCUGGACUCUUCUGGACUCUUGUUGGUCUCCGCUUUUCUCGUUGCUCGACUUGUAUGAUUUUGUAAUCCUCGUCUUUCUUUUUCCGACAGGUUUCAAGAGAUACAAAUGCAACUAUCUAUAGUGAAGGAAAUCUUAAAAAGGGUAAAAUUCGUUUGGCAGGCUGCAACUCUGAUAGCUGUGUAUGCCGGCUGGAGUUUUGCAGGUAUCGAGGGAAUAGGUUGGGAUUGGGCUCUAGUCAUCUGGCGAUACAGUAUCGUUUUCUUUCCCCCUCUUGAUUUCUUGAAGUUCGCUAUCCGAUAUGUGCUCAGUGGGAAGGCAUGGGACGACCUCCCGGAGAACAUGACCGAAUUCACUGCCAACAAUUUUCGAGGACUCCAACCACCUGAAACAACCAACCUUUUUGAGUUACCCGAGAUGACCGAGCAGGGCGCCAAGUAUAUGUUGCACGGUCGGUCAGACCCUGGCUCUGCAUUGGUCGUGCAGUGUCAGUGGUGAAGUCGGACAUUGUCAACAUACAACAACAACCAAAUCUACACAGUUUUUAUCUUUCUCACUACAAGUGAGAUGCAUGGAAGAGGAGCAACAAGGCUUGAUGUUUUCCUAUCAUACAUGACGAUGAAGAUUAAGCGUUCUUUCCUACUUUCUUCAUGUGUCUUUACAGUUUCGGAUAUGUUUUUUUGACAUUGUGGGAGCUUGUUCAUCUUGACAGCCUCCAAAUGUGAACUUUAAUUGAUUGGAACAGAUAAAAUAAUUUCAACAGUUCAGUUACGGUUCAGCUUUAAAAUGUGUUUGUAUUGGUUGGGUUUGAAAAAGACAACUAGUUUGGUUCUCUGUUCUCCCU
Asparagus officinalis (garden asparagus) is the source of this 1809-nucleotide long non-coding RNA. RefSeq lists it as uncharacterized. The transcript has 3 exons. The record is from RefSeq and is a predicted model, not a curated record. Lineage: Eukaryota; Viridiplantae; Streptophyta; Magnoliopsida; Asparagales; Asparagaceae.